GUGAGGAAUAUUGGUCAAUGGGCGGGAGCCUGAACCAGCCAAGUCGCGUGAGGGACGACGGUCCUAUGGAUUGUAAACCUCUUUUGUCGGGGAACAAAGGCGCCCACGGGUGGGCGGAUGAGUGUACCCGAAGAAAAAGCAUCGGCUAACUCCGUGCCAGCAGCCGCGGUAAUACGGAGGAUGCGAGCGUUAUCCGGAUUUAUUGGGUUUAAAGGGUGCGUAGGCGGACGGUCAAGUCAGCGGUAAAAAUGCGGUGCUCAACGCCGUACAGCCGUUGAAACUGGCAGUCUUGAGUGGGCGAGAAGUAUGCGGAAUGCGUGGUGUAGCGGUGAAAUGCAUAGAUAUCACGCAGAACUCCGAUUGCGAAGGCAGCAUACCGGCGCCCGACUGACGCUGAGGCACGAAAGCGUGGGUAUCGAACAGG
This 424-nucleotide ribosomal RNA is filed under the name bacterium. Its description in RNAcentral is "bacterial SSU rRNA". It matches the Rfam family "Bacterial small subunit ribosomal RNA", at positions 354 to 776 of the family's 1533-position model. RNAcentral also lists the same sequence under 1 other name. The record is from RNAcentral.